Molecule: ribosomal RNA, 467 nt
Filed under: uncultured bacterium
Lineage: Bacteria
Description: partial 16S ribosomal RNA
Rfam family: Bacterial small subunit ribosomal RNA
Source: RNAcentral
GACGAACGCUGGCGGCGUGCUUAACACAUGCAAGUCGAACGGAAAGGCCCUGCUUUUGUGGGGUGCUCGAGUGGCGAACGGGUGAGUAACCCGUGAGUAACCUGCCCUUGACUUUGGGAUAACUUCAGGAAACUGGGGCUAAUACCGGAUAGGAGCUCCUGCUGCAUGGUGGGGGUUGGAAAGUUUCGGCGGUUGGGGAUGGACUCGCGGCUUAUCAGCUUGUUGGUGGGGUAGUGGCUUACCAAGGCUUUGACGGGUAGCCGGCCUGAGAGGGUGACCGGCCACAUUGGGCCUGAGAAACGGCCCAGACGCCUACGGGAGGCAGGAGUGGGGAAUAGUGCACAAUGGGCGGAGGCCUGAUGCAGCAACGCCGCGUGCGGGAGGACGGCCUUCGGGUUGUAAGCCGCUUUCGCCUGUGACGAAGCGUGAGUGACGGUAAUGGGUAAAGAAGCACCGGCUAACUACGU